GUGCUUCUAUAAGCACAUAUAUUAAAAUUGGAACAAAACAGAGAGGAUUAGAGUGGCCUCUGCAUGAGGAUGAUGUGCAAAUUCCUGACAUAUUCCAUAUUUUU
This is a small nuclear RNA of Vulpes vulpes (red fox), 104 nucleotides long. Lineage: Eukaryota; Metazoa; Chordata; Mammalia; Carnivora; Canidae. The record is from Ensembl.